Molecule: non-coding RNA, 114 nt
Organism: Acanthosepion pharaonis
Lineage: Eukaryota; Metazoa; Mollusca; Cephalopoda; Sepiida; Sepiidae
Source: the annotation of a GenBank genome assembly
UUAUGGCCAUAUCAUGUUGAAACACCAGUUCUCCUACAAUCAUUGAAGUUAAGCAAUGUCAAGCCUGAUCAGUAGUUAGAUGAAUGACCACUUAGGAAUACCAGGUGCUGUAAG